Molecule: ribosomal RNA, 232 nt
Filed under: uncultured bacterium
Lineage: Bacteria
Description: partial 16S ribosomal RNA
Rfam family: Bacterial small subunit ribosomal RNA
Source: RNAcentral
CGGACGGGUGAGUAAUGUCUGGGAAACUGCCUGAUGGAGGGGGAUAACUACUGGAAACGGUAGCUAAUACCGCAUAAUGUCGCAAGACCAAAGAGGGGGACCUUCGGGCCUCUUGCCAUCGGAUGUGCCCAGAUGGGAUUAGCUAGUAGGUGGGGUAAAGGCUCACCUAGGCGACGAUCCCUAGCUGGUCUGAGAGGAUGACCAGCCACACUGGAACUGAGACACGGUCCAG